Uranotaenia lowii is the source of this 2863-nucleotide long non-coding RNA. RefSeq lists it as uncharacterized. Lineage: Eukaryota; Metazoa; Arthropoda; Insecta; Diptera; Culicidae. The record is from RefSeq and is a predicted model, not a curated record. The transcript is spliced from 9 exons.
UGUUUCCGCUGUUUUUGUUCAGAAACAUUUUGAGCGCUGUAGUAAAAAAAAACCAUUGUCCGGCGAUAAUUUAAUAAUAAGCAAGUAAACAUCGGCUCAUGCAAACAAAGCUUCCAAGGAAAUGUCCCGUGGGUAAAAGCUUUGGUGGAAUUUCAUCCGGACCCACUCAGAGGUGGUCGCUUCACUUGGAUGACUUUUAAUUAUUUUUUGGCGUGAUACUUAAAAGUGGAAAGCAAGAUUCGAAUUUUGAAAAUGUUUGAUUGAUUGCAUUUGAAUAUCCUCUGAACCGAUCAUUUUCAUCGGUUAAGGUCGCGGUACACCUCAGGUGAAAAUGAAAAAUCUUAUUUUGUCAAAAACUCAAAAAAGUGACACAUAUUGGCUUAGUAACAUGGUGGAAUCGUUGGGGAAUAGUUAAAAGCUGAAUUUCGAACCGGUCUCAGAGUUCCCCAGCAACACCCAGGCCAGCAUGCAAAAAUCUCUUGCGCUUGCAGUUCCAUGAUGUUAACGUAUGAAGUCGUAUGGGGUAUAUGGUCGACUUUGCCGGUCCAUCAUUUUAAUGCAAAAAAAACGCGCACAACAGAAGAAGAGAAAAUCAAACAUAAAACUGGCCCCGUUUCCGUUUGUGAAGCUGUUUUCAUUAGUGGUUGCACUAAGCAAUAGCUAAUGCCUUCUUCAGCAGUCUCGCCAAACUGGAAAAGCGGUGAACUUGACGGUAAUCCCGGUGGAUUAGAACAAAGUCUUCGUGAAUCCUCCACUUCCAGCCGACAUAAUGGGAAGUUCAACACCGUCACUCAACUAUUAGCUUAAAAGCAGCAAAAACUGUUGGUGUCAGCAGCAACUGCAACAGCAGUAUCAGCAUCGGUUUUUCACCUGCUGCGUCGUCGAAACCUUCGGUGGCCGGAUCCAAUUUCGGGUCGACUAUGCGAGACCGCGCCCCCACAAUCUGCAACAAUAGGCUGUGCUAAAUCCUAAGUUCAGACAAUAGGUACAAACAGUCUUACUCCCGUUCGAUGUGAUCAUAGAAUGAAAGCUACAGAUUUAGAGGAAUACUAGAGCUGAGAACGAGUUGCUGGGUAUGAGGACGAUAACAGCUAUUUUUUUAGUGAAGUGCAGCAGUUGUAAUUGGAUCCACUAGAUGCAACAUAAUAAAAGGGGCGCUAAGACGGACGAAUGCUGUGGUCCUGUGUGUAUUCAUUGUAUACCGUGGAUUCCUCGCAAUGCAUGUGAAGACGUUUUUGGCUCAGGAGAUUGCCAUCGAUGCCAGUAUCAAUCUGCAGGAUAAUUGCACAUAAAAAAGAAUCGUCCGUUCAACAUGACUUUUUUUAACUCAUCGCUUUUGGGAUUUCUACAAACAGCUAAAUCGGACGAUGUCGAUUCGAUGAUGGACGUAAAAGAGCGAAAGGUUACUUAUAAUGGUUUACCGAACUCUUUGACUCCGAAGUUUGUCCCAACCAAGCAGCUGUUGCUGAUGACUAUGAGUUCGAUUACGUAGCUUUGUAGAGAUUAGCUAAAGGAAUUCUAGUAAUUUGAUGACAGCUCCAGAUGAUGUUGAAGUAAAUAAAUAACGAUUUUCCACUUUCACUGACGAGUUGUUACCUUGUCGCGAUAGCGAUGCCACAGACACGGUCAGUGAAUGCAUUCGUCGAGAAAGUGGGUGAAACUAUAUUUGGGCCCAGUCAUAGCUUCCCUACCGAUCACCCACCGUACAAUUAAUAGCUCUGGUAUGGAUGUCCUUCACGUGCCUACAUCGUAGCCUCCACCGCUUGGUCGGUCCAGUGAAAAAGAUGCAUGCACUAUACUUUUGUCGGAAGAUGAAUCCCUCAAAAAGGGUUUUGGCACAAAAAACUAAACCCACAUUUCGAUUCGAUCACCCGGGAGUUUUUUUAGUUGCCAUAAGCAAUGAUACUAAUCUGCAGAAUGAUUCUGGUAGCCAUUUUUAUAGCCGUAACUUUUAACAUGCAACGUCAAAGAUGUAAAUGCGAGGAAAAUACAUUAAGAAAAAUUCAAUAAAAUAAAUUUGAAGAUGAUUUACCGUGAUUUACCAUCGAAAUAAACCUCCGGUGGUACAGAACAAGGUCAUCAACAAAAAAGCCCAGUAGCAACAGCAACAGAAGCAUCAAAGCUAGCCCAAAACUUUGAUUACGGAGGUGUUGAAAAACUAGUAUCUUGUCAACCAAUUUCGUAAAUUGAGUCUACCAUUUCCGAAAAUUUCGGAGGGUACGAAACCGCAGCUAGACCAAGUAUAUCAACUACUUCAAUCAAUAUUCCUCCGUAUUUUCUCGGAUAAUGAUGAAGUUGUGAAAAAAUCGGGAUCUCAACCUACUAGGAAAACAAGUUCGACUGCUACCACUGCAUGUGCUAUAACAACAAUUAGUGGUAUGAAUAAGGUUUAGCAAUUGCUUCGGUAGCUUUAACUUUGCUCGAAAUCAAGCAAAGCAAAAGCCCAAAGCAUUUGCUUAGUUUGGUAUGAAUAAACGUUUGCUUAGCAGAUGUGUACUAAAGUCUUAGAACAUAGCUUUUGCUUCGAAAAAAAGAGCUAUCCAACCAGCAGAAUCUGAAAUUUUUUAAAGUAAAAUAAAAGAAGACGAUCAAAAAAUUGAAAAGUACGGCUAAAAUAGCCAUGAAAUCGACGGUGCGGGUGAUGGGUGUAAGAACGAUCGGAAAAAAUUAAGUCAAUACAUGCUUGUAUGUUGAUGUUUAAAGAAAAUUGAAUAUUGUCAAACAAAAAAUGGCCUAGCUUUUUAACAUUUAUCAUAAGCUCUCCCACACGUUUUCGGAUCGGGAUAAUCCGAUAUAUAAAAAAAUAGGCAAUAGGCGCGCAUCUUAACUUAGAUGCUUUUUUUUAAUCUUUGAAUUAUAAAAA